CUGACUACCAGUGGGAAAAGAUCUCUUCUGGAGAUCCUCUGCUCUGGAGUUCCAUAGCGAGCCCAGUAUACGGGAUAUAUUUGUGAUGCCUAAGAAGAAAGUAUGCAGCUACCUGGGAGUAGAGAACUCUUGCAAGUAAAACUGUAUAGUAAGGACUCAGAGUGGAAUUGCUGCCUAUUCACUGAGACAGAAAGCAGAUGCUGAAGAGUAUUAUGUACUGAGGAACUGAAAUAAAUAAAUAAAUAUGGAAAUCUGUGGAGGGUGACCUUCCUUGCUUUUAAUAUCAGAAAAUGGCCAAUGGACUACAUCAUGAAAAGCCUUUCUUUCCUUAUUCUAAUCCAACUCAUUGGGAAUUCAGCUGCUCAGAGGCUUUGGAUGUACGCGAGCAAUGAGGUGGUGCUAAAGAUCUAUCUAAAGAUACUGAAGCUUAUUGUACAUUGCUCACUGGAGGCACAAGGAAACAAGAUAGACAUAAUGAUAUUCAGAGUUACUUCAAGAUCAUAAUGCCAGCAGUUCUUCUCUUGCCUAAAGCGAUGUGGCAUCAUUUCUCCUCGUGGGACAGUUUCCUGUUAACUUAUCUAGAAGCACUGCUGACUUUUCCCGCUGACCCUGUCCUGUCAAAACAUAGUUUUUGCAAUGUAUAAGACUUCCAUGAAAGUUUCUAAUACCAGAUGUUGGCAUUUAUCUUGUCAAACCAAUGUUGCUUGUGUGAAAUAAUGGAUAGACUCCACAGUGCUAAAAUUGGAAAGAAUACAAUUCCCUUAGGGUCGUUCAGUGACCUGCCUGAAACUUUGCUGCUCUAUUUUCUGUCUCUACAUGGAGUUUUGUUAUGGAGUAACCUUCCUCUGAACUCGAUCAAUUCUGUAAUUUGCCAAGAGCAGGAAUCUUGUACAGUGUGUGAAAGAGUGUGAAUGAACAGUCCCCAAUGGGAUGGUUGGGGCACUUUAAAGUCUGCUUAGGAAAAGUCUGUUUUUGUGUGACAUCAGUGCUGUACAGUUUAUAACAUCCCAUAGGAUGGAAGUGUCUCAUCUUUCAUAAAAUGAAAGUUGUCCCAGAGCAGUGUUGCUAACUUUGAAGUUGCACGUUGGGUUUAUAUCCCUGUCGUGCAAUAUUGUCAGUGCAAAUGAUGUGGGUCUAGGCCACCAGUGAAUGGUCCUAGUACUAUGAUGUGUUGGGAGUACAAGGAAAUUAAGUUAUUUUGGAGACAUCUGUAUCUUGCUUCUUGGGACUUGACUGUUUCUGCAAUGGCUAGCACUCAUCUCUUAGCUUAUUGGUGGAGCUGCUUUUGGCUCUGGUGCAAUAGUUAAUCUUACUAAACUACUGGCU
This is a non-coding RNA of Meleagris gallopavo (turkey), 1326 nucleotides long. The record is from RefSeq and is a predicted model, not a curated record. Lineage: Eukaryota; Metazoa; Chordata; Aves; Galliformes; Phasianidae.